GCUGCACAUAUGUUAUCUCACUACAAUAAUGAGACGGACAAAGAAAGAGACCAAAGAUUUCGUGCAA
Molecule: small RNA, 67 nt
Filed under: Arabidopsis thaliana (thale cress)
Lineage: Eukaryota; Viridiplantae; Streptophyta; Magnoliopsida; Brassicales; Brassicaceae
Description: ATSL287540
Source: RNAcentral